CUGAAUCAGUGUGUGUGUUAGUGGAAGCGUCUGGAAAGGCGCGCGAUACAGGGUGACAGCCCCGUACACAAAAAUGCACAUGCUGUGAGCUCGAUGAGUAGGGCGGGACACGUGGUAUCCUGUCUGAAUAUGGGGGGACCAUCCUCCAAGGCUAAAUACUCCUGACUGACCGAUAGUGAACCAGUACCGUGAGGGAAAGGCGAAAAGAACCCCGGCGAGGGGAGUGAAAAAGAACCUGAAACCGUGUACGUACAAGCAGUGGGAGCACGCUUAGGCGUGUGACUGCGUACCUUUUGUAUAAUGGGUCAGCGACUUAUAUUCUGUAGCAAGGUUAACCGAAUAGGGGAGCCGAAGGGAAACCGAGUCUUAACUGGGCGUUAAGUUGCAGGGUAUAGACCCGAAACCCGGUGAUCUAGCCAUGGGCAGGUUGAAGGUUGGGUAACACUAACUGGAGGACCGAACCGACUAAUGUUGAAAAAUUAGCGGAUGACUUGUGGCUGGGGGUGAAAGGCCAAUCAAACCGGGAGAUAGCUGGUUCUCCCCGAAAGCUAUUUAGGUAGCGCCUCGUGAAUUCAUCUCCGGGGGUAGAGCACUGUUUCGGCAAGGGGGUCAUCCCGACUUACCAACCCGAUGCAAACUGCGAAUACCGGAGAAUGUUAUCACGGGAGACACACGGCGGGUGCUAACGUCCGUCGUGAAGAGGGAAACAACCCAGACCGCCAGCUAAGGUCCCAAAGUCAUGGUUAAGUGGGAAACGAUGUGGGAAGGCCCAGACAGCCAGGAUGUUGGCUUAGAAGCAGCCAUCAUUUAAAGAAAGCGUAAUAGCUCACUGGUCGAGUCGGCCUGCGCGGAAGAUGUAACGGGGCUAAACCAUGCACCGAAGCUGCGGCAGCGACGCUUAUGCGUUGUUGGGUAGGGGAGCGUUCUGUAAGCCUGUGAAGGUGUGCUGUGAGGCAUGCUGGAGGUAUCAGAAGUGCGAAUGCUGACAUAAGUAACGAUAAAGCGGGUGAAAAGCCCGCUCGCCGGAAGACCAAGGGUUCCUGUCCAACGUUAAUCGGGGCAGGGUGAGUCGACCCCUAAGGCGAGGCCGAAAGGCGUAGUCGAUGGGAAACAGGUUAAUAUUCCUGUACUUGGUGUUACUGCGAAGGGGGGACGGAGAAGGCUAUGUUGGCCGGGCGACGGUUGUCCCGGUUUAAGCGUGUAGGCUGGUUUUCCAGGCAAAUCCGGAAAAUCAAGGCUGAGGCGUGAUGACGAGGCACUACGGUGCUGAAGCAACAAAUGCCCUGCUUCCAGGAAAAGCCUCUAAGCAUCAGGUAACAUCAAAUCGUACCCCAAACCGACACAGGUGGUCAGGUAGAGAAUACCAAGGCGCUUGAGAGAACUCGGGUGAAGGAACUAGGCAAAAUGGUGCCGUAACUUCGGGAGAAGGCACGCUGAUAUGUAGGUGAAGUCCCUUGCGGAUGGAGCUGAAAUCAGUCGAAGAUACCAGCUGGCUGCAACUGUUUAUUAAAAACACAGCACUGUGCAAACACGAAAGUGGACGUAUACGGUGUGACGCCUGCCCGGUGCCGGAAGGUUAAUUGAUGGGGUCAGCGCAAGCGAAGCUCUUGAUCGAAGCCCCGGUAAACGGCGGCCGUAACUAUAACGGUCCUAAGGUAGCGAAAUUCCUUGUCGGGUAAGUUCCGACCUGCACGAAUGGCGUAAUGAUGGCCAGGCUGUCUCCACCCGAGACUCAGUGAAAUUGAACUCGCUGUGAAGAUGCAGUGUACCCGCGGCAAGACGGAAAGACCCCGUGAACCUUUACUAUAGCUUGACACUGAACAUUGAGCCUUGAUGUGUAGGAUAGGUGGGAGGCUUUGAAGUGUGGACGCCAGUCUGCAUGGAGCCGACCUUGAAAUACCACCCUUUAAUGUUUGAUGUUCUAACGUUGGCCCCUAAUCGGGGUUGCGGACAGUGUCUGGUGGGUAGUUUGACUGGGGCGGUCUCCUCCUAAAGAGUAACGGAGGAGCACGAAGGUUGGCUAAUCCUGGUCGGACAUCAGGAGGUUAGUGCAAUGGCAUAAGCCAGCUUGACUGCGAGCGUGACGGCGCGAGCAGGUGCGAAAGCAGGUCAUAGUGAUCCGGUGGUUCUGAAUGGAAGGGCCAUCGCUCAACGGAUAAAAGGUACUCCGGGGAUAACAGGCUGAUACCGCCCAAGAGUUCAUAUCGACGGCGGUGUUUGGCACCUCGAUGUCGGCUCAUCACAUCCUGGGGCUGAAGUAGGUCCCAAGGGUAUGGCUGUUCGCCAUUUAAAGUGGUACGCGAGCUGGGUUUAGAACGUCGUGAGACAGUUCGGUCCCUAUCUGCCGUGGGCGCUGGAGAACUGAGGGGGGCUGCUCCUAGUACGAGAGGACCGGAGUGGACGCAUCACUGGUGUUCGGGUUGUCAUGCCAAUGGCACUGCCCGGUAGCUAAAUGCGGAAGAGAUAAGUGCUGAAAGCAUCUAAGCACGAAACUUGCCCCGAGAUGAGUUCUCCCUGACUCCUUGA
This 2526-nucleotide ribosomal RNA is filed under the name Escherichia coli. RNAcentral's name for it is "bacterial LSU rRNA". It matches the Rfam family "Bacterial large subunit ribosomal RNA", at positions 312 to 2826 of the family's 2925-position model. Lineage: Bacteria; Pseudomonadati; Pseudomonadota; Gammaproteobacteria; Enterobacterales; Enterobacteriaceae. The record is from RNAcentral.